CGAGAAAGCCCGCAAGGGUGAGUACAGCGGCGAACGGGUGCGUAACACGUGGGUAAUCUGCCCUGGAGUCCGGAAUAACUCGCCGAAAGGCGUGCUAAUGCCGGAUAAGACCACGGGAGCUUCGGCUCCUGCGGGAAAAGGUGGCCUCUGUAUACAAGCUAUCGUUCCAGGAUGAGCCCGCGGCCCAUCAGCUCGUUGGUGGGGUAAUGGCCCACCAAGGCUACGACGGGUAGCUGGUCUGAGAGGACGAUCAGCCACACUGGAACUGAGACACGGUCCAGACUCCUACGGGAGGCAGCAGUGGGGAAUCUUGCGCAAUGGGCGAAAGCCUGACGCAGCAACGCCGCGUGUGUGAUGAAGGUCUUCGGAUCGUAAAGCACUGUCGCGAGGGACG
RNAcentral lists this ribosomal RNA (394 nucleotides) under uncultured Anaeromyxobacter sp. RNAcentral describes it as "bacterial SSU rRNA". It matches the Rfam family "Bacterial small subunit ribosomal RNA", at positions 67 to 447 of the family's 1533-position model. The record is from RNAcentral. Lineage: Bacteria; Pseudomonadati; Myxococcota; Myxococcia; Myxococcales; Anaeromyxobacteraceae.